GUGAAACUGAAAGCUAUAGCAGACAAACAGGGAGAGAAAAAUCCAUACGGGCGAGACAGAGAUUGGAAUUAUGCAAGCCUGGGAACCCCUCACCACUAGCAGCCAGCAAGCAAGAGAGAAGGGAGGAUUCCACUACAGGUUCCUGGGGAGCAGCGCCCCACUGUGUAUGGCAGACAACGGGCUGGACAUGCGGAACCCCUUGUACCUGAGUGCCUGGAGCACAGCUAGUCCUCGAGUUCCUAGAUAACUUUUCUACUCUGGACUACAACAAACAUUUCCAGAGGAGAGCUCUUUAGAGUUUAUAGAAUUUUCUUUGUAUGUUGGUGUGACAAAUGAAUCCACACAAUGCUCAGCCUAUGUGUUUAACUUUUUAAGAAACUGCCAGCAGUCUUGCAAAGUGGUUACAGCAUUUCUCAGUCUCGUAAGUAGUGUAUGAGAGUUUCAGUUGCCCCACCCAUAUCCUCACCUACAUUUGAUAUUGCCAGUUUUUACAAUCAUAGCUGCUCAAGUUGAUGUGAAAUGUCUCAUUACGAUUUUAUCUUGCAUUUCCCUAAUGACUAAUCAUAUUGAUUAGUUGACUUUUGUAUGUGCGUGUAUGCAUAUAUAUGUGUGUGUGAUAUGCUAUUCAUUAUCUUGAUUACAUAUUCUUUCCUAAAGAUUCUGCGAUUGUCCUUGUAACAAUAAGCAUUAAUUAACAAUGAGAAAUAACUCCUGCAGUCAAGAAUGGGAUUAGCUUCCUCUGAGGAAGAGAACUUCAUGGAACAUGGAGAAUAUGGAUGGAUAAAAGAAAAAAAGUCAGAAUUUCAUUAUGAAGAAAAAGAGAAGAUAUUUCAUAGAGAGGAGAGAUGAUAGAAAAGAGUAGGGCCAAACUGGUGGUUCUCAAGCCAAGAUGCACCUCAAAAUCAUUCUUUUAAAACACCAAUUAAAAUCCAGUAUCUUCUGGAUCCACUGGGACAGAGGUUGGGCUGUCAAGGCUCUGGGUGGCCUUGUCCCUGUUGGGGCUCUCUGCCUGAAGCUUCCAUCGCAAUGUUGGCGGUGCUACCUGUUUGGGGCAGCAGAGGGGGGGACCCAACCUUCAUGACUCUGCUGAGUAUUGCCCUAACAGGGGUCUUUUGUGGUGGCCCCCUACUUGGGGAGAGAGCUCUCUUGAACCUCGUUUAAUAAAAGCACUAAUUCCGUUCAUGAGGAUGCUGCCUUCAUGACCUAAUCAGCUCCCACAGGCCCACCUCCUAAUACCAUGCCAUUAUGUAUUAGGCUUCAACAUAUGAAUGUGGGAGACACACAUUGAGACCACAGCAUCAUGGAAUAUAUUUAAAAUGAAAAUCCGUAGGUUCAAAUUCAAAUUCUAGUAAUUCAGAUUUAGUAGGUCUAGAAUGAAGUCUAGGAAUCUACUUUUUUUUUUUUAAACAAAUUUACCAGCUGGCUCUGAGGCAGAAUAUUUUUAAAUAAGAGGAGCCCUUAUCAACCAUUGACAAAAUUUCCUCUACACACAUAUGUACCCAAGGACCCCUUGCUACUCGGGCACUCUUCAGGACCUUCAAGUUGGGCACCACUGGUGGAGGAUGCAUUACUGAAGGAGUAUUCAUAGGUCCACAUGCAACACUAGAAGGGCCCCCAGGAAUAUGCACUUGGGACAGUGGAUGGGUACAAAGUGGCAGCCACAUGAGACACAAGGAAAACACUGGUCCAACUGGACACUGAAGAGGCACACAGAACUGUUCACAGGAGACAUUUAUGAAGCACAUCAGAACAUCUAUGUGGGUAAUGGAGGGGCAAACAGGCCCAUGCAGGACAUGGAAGGACCACACAGGAAUGUCCCCACGAGACACUGAAAUUUAGUAUGUAUCCACAAGGGGCUCUGAAGGGUCCCCUGUGUUCUUGUAGGACACUGAGGGAGAAAGGGGGUGAGAGAAUGCCACAGAGACACUGAUUAACCAGGGCUGAGGCACCAGGAAGAGAAAAAUGCAACCUACAGAUAAGGUUCUUGAGUUUGUGAGAUCCCAAGAGGGAGAAACCUUGUUUUAUGUACCAUCACGUCAUUAGGAUCUAUCACAGUGACCGAUUAUGUACUCAAUACAUAGAGUGACCAAGUAAUUUAUCUCCCAAACUGGGUUGCCCUUGGUCAGAAAAGGGGGUACCAUUUAUAACUAUGCUGAAACCGAAAGCAUAAUCUAAGACCCAUUCUGGGAAAGCUGGGAAGUACAGUUUCCCUACCAAUGAAUCUUGGGUAAGUAGGUGGGUGAAUGAAUGAGGGGAGUUCUUUUUGAGUGGAAAGAAUAAAUAAUAACACCAUCAACUGCUCUAUCAAACAGGAAAAAAAGGCCUUCUUGCAGGUGACAAAGCAGGGGUGUUGAGGCUAGAAGUGUCUGAAGUCUUUUCUGUAAAGUGGCUUCUGCGGUCUUUGAUGAGCACAGCACAGCGGGGGAUGAGUAGAGCCCUCGGCCUGUAGCUGCAGUUGCUUAUCAGAUGCUGUGCUCUCAGUAAGACUUGCCUUUUUGUGAUGGUUAAGAGUGGGGUGUGAUGGAGAUGAGGGCAGGGGCUAACACAGUCCAAGGGCCAGCUCCCAGGGCUAUUGCAGAUAGAGGGGUGGGGCAUGGCUCAGUCCUCCAGGCAGCCCUCGUGAGCUGUGCUGGGUGGGGUGAGGCCUUCCAUCUCCUCCGCAGAGGGCAGAAGUUGAGAUGAACUCAGAAAGGAGAGGGAAUGAGGGAACAAGAAGCACAGCCUCCAGAAGGGGCCCCUUCACACUAAUUGUAAAGAAACAUGAUGCUUGUUAAUCAGAAACGGGUGUUUAAAGAGGUACAAGCAGGAAGAGUGUAAAAGAGAAAAUAUCAGGACAAGAGGAAGUAGCUCUGUGCUCGCCUCCCCCAGCCCCUAGCCCUGGACGCCAUGCUGUGCCUUCCAUAAUAAGGCUGAACCUGGCCAUGCCCAUGGCCCCUGACUGCAGUGGUCUCCUCUCCCCAUUUGAGAGCAGAAGGGCCACAGUCUUGGAGAGGAGGAAAAGAUCAGGUGGCGCUCCCUGCAAGACUGUUCAGGCGUGUUUAGCCACGCAUCUCAGGAGAUCUCAUGAGCUGUGUGCCCAUGGCAGGCAGGUUAACUUCUCUGAUACACAUUUCUCUUCUGUAAAGGUGGGAUUGUAACAGACGUGUGGCAUUCAGGGUAACCCGAGGGUGCAGGUGAGAUAGGAAUGAAGUUUCCUCCCCUUCCUCCAGACUGUCUGCCAUUAGCACUACCGCCUGGAAGACUGAUGGGUUCAGUGAGUUGAACCCUGAGUGGAUGAUAAAAAAGGACCAGGAGGUUUACUUGAUGGGAGGAGAGAGAAGGCAAUUCAAGUGUAAACUCACGGGAGAACACUUUUCUAGCACUCUCCCUAUUCCAGUAGAAUAUGCACCUCCCUGUUUUGUGCCUUGCCCCUUUGUUUUCAAGGAACCUGUGACACUUUAUAGCAUGUAAAAUUUAUUAUAAGUUGGACUCCAUCAUAGGAGUGUCUCCUGAAUAGUCAGAGGGCAUCCUAUUGUCUUUGAUUCCCAAAGCUGAGUUCCUAGCUCUUAGAAAGUAAGCAGUACAAAGGGAUGGAAAGAGAGAGAUAAAGGGACUGGCAGGAGCCCCAUGCAGAGGUGUUGGUGCAGGAAGGGAGUGGGCGGGUAUGGGUGCUGAGAGGGCUUCCCGGAGGAGGGGGUGCCUUGUUGGCAGACCCUGGCACUGGAUAGCAGGCCUGACAGUUCAAUCAGGGAAAGGGAAUGUGCUGGAGAGGGUGAGGAGUUUCCAUAAUACAUCCCAUGUGAUAGUCCAGCCUAAACCAGGUCCCAGGUACCACAAGUGGGCAGCAUCUCGGGCAAAGCUUGCAGAGAACCUAAGACCAGGAAGUCUGUUUUUAAGCUGUGAUAAGCAUAUAGGUGUGGGAAAGGAGGUCUGGGGCUGGCCCAGCUUCUCAAUAAGUUAGUCCCUGGCCCUUUUCUGUGUGGGAAGGCAGAACUACGCCUCGAUCGCCUGCUGGACCAGCUGUGAGAUGCUUGAGGGCAGAGAGCAUUUGUGUCAAUUUCAGCAUGAAGCUGACACUUAGUAAAUGUUUAUAAAGUUGGCCAAAUUCACCAAUGCUCUUCCUAUGUUUCUGUGGGUUUUUCAAACAUUUCUCUUUCUCCAGGAAAGAACUGUUGGUCUUCUGGGGAGAAUUACCCUGUCCCAAUUUUUCUUGUCUUCACAAACAUUUACAAAUAGAAUUUUAACUUAAAAAUUGGUAUUUGAACUUAAAAAGUAACCAAAUUACAAGUCUUGUUUGACUUUCAAACUCACAAAGCUACAGAAACAAAAAUACCAAGUCCACUGUAGACAGAGCCCCACGUACAAUGUGUUCUGCCUCAUUUUCAGUUAAUGGACCACAUCCAUUGUUCUCUGAAAGAGGAAAUUCCACUGUUAACUGCCAGAGAGAAAAUAGGCUUCUCCUUUGCACUCAAGAGUCUGGCUAAACAAUCUUUGCCCGUCUAUAAAACGGCAGCCUCUGGCUGCAGGAUAUUUUCUCCACAGAGAAAAGUGAGGACAGAAUACAUUUUGAAGGGUGGUUGUGUCUCGACACCUUGUUGACUGGUGCCUCAAAGGCUUUUAGGUCACUUGUACCGAACACGGAAGAAAAUAGGGCUGUGUAAUUGGCCAGGAAAUGAAGGCACACGAUCUGUUUGCACCGCCAUUAUCUAAUGGAGGUCACUAUGUCCAACUGGAACUAAGGUUAAUCACUCUGUCAGACGUGCCUGUGGAGACACGGGAUGAGUUGUUUUGCUUGCCUCUGAAUCCAGACUGAAGUGGACCGCUGUCUCAUUUACUCUGGGUUAUGGUGGCGGAUUUAUUAUAGUCCAGUAGGUUUCCCUCCUUCCCCUCCCCUCUCCUCUCCUCUCCUCAACCUGUCUCUCCCCUUUUCCCCUCUCCUCCCCCACCUUUUCCUUCCCUUUUUCCUGGACUCCACCCUGACCCAAAGGAAGGGGGAUAUCUGGAAUCUGAUGACUACAUAUUGAAAGUGUCUUUGUUUUCCAAAGUGCAGUGAGCUAAAAAAAAAAAAACUGAGGACUAUUUCUUCAUAAAAUACUAACAAUUCUAAGAUCAUUUAAAAAUUCAGCAAGUGUAGAUUUUAUCUCUCAAGGAAGACUUCUGGAGUGUGAAAGUUCAGGCUGAUUGCACCUGAAUCCUCUUCAGUCUCUGCAUUACUGGCAUCUGUCAGUGUUUUGUCAUGGCAGGGUUUUACAGCUGGUGGAGAAGUUAGCACAGGUUCAUCUCUCAGAAGUGAACAAACAGCCUGUUUGAUGCCUCACUGUUAGUUGAGCCUGGUCACUCUCUGGGUCAGUAAACUAUUGCACUUUCAAUUCCCGGAAAGUGAUCUGGUGUAGUGAAGAAGGCCACGGGCUUUGUAAACAGGAGGGCCCGGGUUUGAUUUAGGGCCCCAUGGUCAUAUCCUCUGGACUUCUUUAGUUUUCUCAUAUGUAAAGUGGGAAUAACACUAAUAAUUAUGUCAUGUUGUUAGAGCAGGCAGAUAGCUAGAUAUGAGCAGAGAAAGGGAAACACAGACCAAAUGGCAGACAUUGGGCAGAAAGGAGAGACACAGGCCAAAUGCAGGAAACCCUACAUCAUGUGAGCACCAGGGGUCCCUGGGCAGAGAAAGAAAAGCAGGAACCUCUGGGCUGAUAAGUGGUCAUAGUUUGGGGGUGACAAGUGGCAUAGAGGCCAACAAAGAAAGGUGGGAAAAGGCAGGAAUCUCCAGUGUCUGAAUGUAACUUUUUGCUCAUUAUGUCCUCAUUUCAAUAAAAUUAGCCUUGCAGACUAGAAGUACCCAUCAAGCACCGAUGCCACGACACUUCCAAUCCAGACUGAAAAAGGACAAAAAUACCUCCUCCCCACCACAAGGUGGGGUUGAGACGAAAAUCAGGGAAUAUGACCCCAAGCCCUUCCCUCCCCAGUCAAUAUUCCAUCCAUUCAUUUUUACACCCUGUGUAACCAACUUGCCAAAGAAACUCAGGGCAGCCGCUCACCUGAGUCUGCCCACUCUCCCCUGAGAGUGUACUAUCCACUCCUUAAUAAAUCGUCACUUUACUUUCUUAA
Camelus dromedarius (Arabian camel) is the source of this 6081-nucleotide long non-coding RNA. RefSeq lists it as uncharacterized. Lineage: Eukaryota; Metazoa; Chordata; Mammalia; Artiodactyla; Camelidae. The record is from RefSeq and is a predicted model, not a curated record. The transcript has 4 exons.